Molecule: unclassified non-coding RNA, 255 nt
Filed under: Hevea brasiliensis (rubber tree)
Lineage: Eukaryota; Viridiplantae; Streptophyta; Magnoliopsida; Malpighiales; Euphorbiaceae
Source: RNAcentral
GACUUUAAUGAAGUAUUUUCUCUACUUAUGAAGCACAGUUUUAUCAGGGUCUCACUUGCUAUGGUUGCUCUUCAUAAUCUAGGGCUUGAGCAACUAGAUGUGAAGAUAGCAUUUUUACAUGGUGACUUUGGAGGAGAAAAUUUAUAUGAGUCAGCCUAAGGGAUUUGUCAUCCCCAGUAACAAAAACCAUGUUUGCUUGCUCAAGAAGUCUUUAUGUGGUCUCAAACAGUCCCUUGGACAAAGGUACAAAAGAUU